GAUAACUCCAGAUCCCGUUCCGGCCUUUUCUCCGCCUUGCUCCGUCGUCUUGCGGUGUAGCUGCUGGAUGGGUGCCUGCAAAACAACGCCGGAGGGGGGUUUGGACCCCGAGGCGCCUCCGGCGUGAGAGUAAGAGCGGGCUUGAAAGUAGUCGGACGGAAAAUGAGCUAUCUAUCAAUGUAGAGGGUGUGUGUAUGGUGGUUGCUUGAGUGGUUGUGUUUGCUGAAUAUAUUCAACAUAUAUAUUAAACCCCCCUCCGGCGUUGUUUUGCAGGCACCCAUCCAGCAGCUACACCGCAAGACGACGGAGCAAGGCGGAGAAAAGGCCGGA
Molecule: long non-coding RNA, 330 nt
Filed under: Daucus carota (carrot)
Lineage: Eukaryota; Viridiplantae; Streptophyta; Magnoliopsida; Apiales; Apiaceae
Description: long non-coding RNA (DCAR_LNC000737)
Source: RNAcentral